UUUUUUUUGUUUGUUUUUUUUUUUCUGCGGGGAGUUAGUAUUUGCAGUCUACUUUGUUGCGUGGCAGGUUUUUUUUGCUUUUUUAAAUUUUUUUCAGAACAGGCCAAAGCUGUUGCAUGAUCAGCACAGUGCUGCUCACAACCCCCACGGCCAUGAAAUCUUGAGCAUGCACAGAAUUUGUGGGUGGUUUGAUUCUGUCUCCUGUUUACAUCAAAUUAACAGCAAAGCUUGUCCAGGUUAACUUAACACCAUGUCUGCCUUGCUUGAAUUCACGUGUCUUUGAGCCAGGAAUAAAUGUGGUGACCAAUCUCCUUGUGCCACUCUGGCAGAAAGGAAUGUCCUCAGGAAAGAGGGUUGGCAUUAAAACUGGCUUGCAGUUGUUUUGCAAAGAAUUGGAUGGUUUCAGCUGCUGCUGAUGGUGAGAAUGCCUCACAUCUGCUGAUGAAAGGCAGAAGCCUUCCUGUCUGUGAGCGUGGUGUGGUUUCUGUGGUGCUCUGUGAGGUUCCUCUUGGCUGAAUUGCUCAAGAGGCUCCACCAGUGGCACAGUUUAUCUUUCCACCCACUGCACCCUCACACCAGCCCUGGAACUCCUUUAACUCCGUUCUCUGAAGCUUUUAAGACUCUUCUGUGAUUGUUCUGUUGCAGUGUGCUGCUGGGAGCUUAUUGUAAAUGCAGGUGAACCCAAUGGGAAGAAAUGACGAUGUGUGACUCAAUUCAGAAGGCUGAAUGAUUAUUAUAACUAUGCUAAAAUACAUCAAUAUACUAUAUAAAAGGAGGAUACUCAAACUACAUACUACUUUCUCUGACUCUGUCUCUAACACAACUCGUGACCCUCUCUGAGAGCCCAGCCCCAGGUGGGUUGGAUUGGCCAUCAGGCUCAAACAAUCCUCACCAGAAUCCAACCAAGCAAUCAGCCCAGGUAAACAAUUCUCCAAACACAUUCCACAUGGGAAAAACAAGGAGCAGAAAUAGAAAUUGUUUUCUCUUUCAUUUCUCUCUGUGCUCCUCUAUGAAAAAUCCUGAGAGGGAGAGAAAUGUGCUUGCCACAGGAGCUGGCACUGCAGGCCUGACAGGAGUAACCUGCACCCUUAACCUCAGUCAGCUUGGCCAAAUAUUGCUGAAAAGGCUGAAAUUCAUCCCUUCCAAAGCAGGCCUGUGCUGGGGUGGCUGUACAUCCAUGACUCUGCUUCACAGCUUGCAUGAUCAUAUUUCUCACAAACUAAGGGUAUUUUACAGAAUCACAGAAUAAUGAGGUUUGAAGAGACCUCUAAGAUCAUCAAGUCCAGCCUAUGCCGUAACACCACAACCAGACUAUAGCACCAAGUGCCAAGUCCAGUCUUUUUUAAAACAUAUCCAGAGAUGGUGAUUCCACCACCUCCCUAGGAAGACAAUUCCAGUAUUUUAUUAUUCUUUCAGUGAGAAAUUUUUUCCUAAUAUCCAACCUAAUUGUAGCUCUACUAUUUAGCACUUUUGCUUUCGCUCUUUUUGCCUCUUCCCAGUUAUUUUUUCAGUCGUGUUUGCACAUUCAAAGUACUGAAUAGUUUUAAGGCAGAGUUCUCAUUUCCUCCUCAUUAUUUAUAGCUACACCAACCAUUGCAGAGACAGGGAAUCCCCUUGGUUUCAAGACCAAAGUUUUCUGCUUCCCCUCCUCGCCCUGCUGUGGUAUUUGUUGUAGCACAAGGUCUGUUCCCUAAAGGAAAAAACAGAGUUUCUACUGCUGGUAAUGCCUGAGCCACGAGUCUCCUGUGGCAGCAGCUAUUGCAGGUGGUUGCAGUGGUAGAAGCUGCUUGGGAGCAGGAGCCUGGUUACGAAAGUGAAAAAAUAGGAAUGUGAAUCCAGCUGGGGAAUUCUAAGCUGUGCACGGCUUGAACCCAGAUAACUUUGUGUCAGUGCAUCUACUGCCACAAAGGUGAUUCCUGCUCAGGUUUGCAGUGGGGCAGAAAGGGUUUGUAAAUUCCUGCCCCUUGUACCCUCAACAUUGAGAACGACCACCAAAUGGGCAAAACCAGACAAAAACCCUGCACCAAGAUCUGUGCUGGCUGAGUGUCACUGGUGUUCAUCAUGUGGCUCCUCAUGAUGGUUAGAGAACUUUGCAGAUGUCUCAGUUUUCCUUAAGCUUUCUCUGCAACCAUAAAAACAGAAUGAAUUUCUACAGAGCAGUCGUGUGACCCAAAUCUUUUGAUAUGGCUUUAAACAUCUCACUGUCUUGGAAUGAGUUUUGUCUUGCCGUGCCAAGGGAAAACGAUUCAUGUUGAUUUUUGCAGCUGUUAAUGAACAAAGCAUGGGAAGGUGAUACCCCCACCUCGGUGGCAGAGCUGGUGCUGCUCUGCCAUCUGAUGGCAGAGCUGGGACAGAACAAAGCUCCUGCCUUUCCCAAAUGUCACUGCAAGGGAUCCUGUCACUGGCUGUAGUUUAAUGGAAAUGAAGGAAAUAUCCCAUCCCUGUUCAUUGAAAUGAAAAAUGCAUAUUAUAUGGCUCUAUGCAGACAGUUACUACAUGUAUUAUGUUAUAUUGAUUAGUUGUGCUUUUGUAGUUAAAAUGAAGACUUUAGUAGUUAAAAAAAAAAAAAAAUAGAGACUCUGUAUGUGGGGGGAAGUUGUUUUCUUUUUUUUUAGGAAUGAGAUACUGGCUUCAAGGAACACCUAAAUCUUCCAAAGGAGAGGAAUUUAUGGCUUCUUAUCAGAAGAAGCUAAUUUCUUCAGGCCUUGCUCAGACUUGAAGAUGCCAGGGGAGUAAAGGAAACAGUUGACAUAUAACAGACAGAGUUUCUUGUUUAGAAUAGAAUGUAUGCAUAACCAUGAAGGAUGUAUGAAUAUGCAAGAAGUGUAUUGGUUUAAGGGUGAUUCCUUUGUUCACAAGGCAUGCUUUUCAUGACUUAGUGUCUGAGAGCAUCCGGACGUCCGUAAUUCUUUGCUUUUUAUUGUCUUGUAAUUGUCCUAACUCUAAACUUUGUUACUCUAAUUGUAUUAUUAUUUUUAUAACCAUUUUAUUAUUAUUAAACU
Long non-coding RNA from Taeniopygia guttata (zebra finch), 3002 nucleotides. The record is from Ensembl. Lineage: Eukaryota; Metazoa; Chordata; Aves; Passeriformes; Estrildidae.